Molecule: ribosomal RNA, 288 nt
Filed under: Chrysomya megacephala (oriental latrine fly)
Lineage: Eukaryota; Metazoa; Arthropoda; Insecta; Diptera; Calliphoridae
Description: partial 16S ribosomal RNA
Source: RNAcentral
UCUGGUAUGAAAGGUUUGACGAGAUAUUAACUGUUUCAUAAAAAUUUAUAAUAGAAUUUUAUUUUUUAGUUAAAAAGCUAAAAUAUAUUUAAAAGACGAGAAGACCCUAUAAAUCUUUAUAUUUAGGUUAUUAUAAUUUUAUAGAUUUUUUUUGUUAUAAUAAUUGAUAAUAUUUUAUUGGGGUGAUAUUAAAAUUUGAUAAACUUUUAAUUGUUUAAAUCAUUAAUUUAUGAAUAAUUGAUCCGUUAUUAGCGAUUAAAAAAAUAAGUUACCUUAGGGAUAACAGCG